AUACAGAGGGUGCGAGCGUUAAUCGGAAUUACUGGGCGUAAAGCGCGCGUAGGCGGCUUGGUCAGUCGGAUGUGAAAGCCCCGGGCUCAACCUGGGAAUGGCAUUCGAUACUGCCAGGCUAGAGUAUGGGAGGGGGAAGUGGAAUUUCCGGUGUAGCGGUGAAAUGCGUAGAUAUCGGAAAGAACACCAGUGGCGAAGGCGACUUCCUGGCCCAAUACUGACGCUGAGGCGCGAAAGCGUGGGGAGCGAACAGGAUUAGAUACCCUAGUAGUCC
Molecule: ribosomal RNA, 274 nt
Filed under: uncultured bacterium
Lineage: Bacteria
Description: partial 16S ribosomal RNA
Rfam family: Bacterial small subunit ribosomal RNA
Source: RNAcentral